GAGGAAGGUUGUGGCUCAGAGGU
Molecule: microRNA, 23 nt
Filed under: Bovine leukemia virus
Lineage: Riboviria; Pararnavirae; Artverviricota; Revtraviricetes; Ortervirales; Retroviridae
Description: BLV-miR-B5-5p
Source: RNAcentral